RNAcentral lists this ribosomal RNA (406 nucleotides) under uncultured bacterium. Its description in RNAcentral is "partial 16S ribosomal RNA". It matches the Rfam family "Bacterial small subunit ribosomal RNA", at positions 29 to 526 of the family's 1533-position model. The record is from RNAcentral.
AUUGAACGCUGGCGGCAGGCCUAACACAUGCAAGUCGAGCGAGCGGCGGACGGGUGAGUAAUGUCUGGGAAACUGCCUGAUGGAGGGGGAUAACUACUGGAAACGGUAGCUAAUACCGCAUACCAUCAGAUGUGCCCAGAGGGGAGUAGCUAGUAGGUGGGGUAACGGCUCACCUAGGCGACGCUCCCUCGCUGGUCUGAGAGGAUGACCCGCAACACUGGAACUGAGACACGGUCCAGACUCCUACGGGAGGCAGAAGUGGGGAAUAGUGCACAAUGGGCGAAAGCCUGAUGCAGCCAUGCCGCGUGUGUGAAGAAGGCCUUCGGGUUGUAAAGCACUUUCAGCGGGGAGGCGUUACCCGCAGAAGAAGCACCGGCUAACUCCGUGCCAGCAGCCGCGGUAAUAC